Molecule: transfer RNA, 76 nt
Filed under: Hyphomicrobiales bacterium
Lineage: Bacteria; Pseudomonadati; Pseudomonadota; Alphaproteobacteria; Hyphomicrobiales
Also listed under: 1 other name
Description: Rhizobiales bacterium tRNA-Asn
Rfam family: tRNA
About the family: Transfer RNA (tRNA) molecules are approximately 80 nucleotides in length. Their secondary structure includes four short double-helical elements and three loops (D, anti-codon, and T loops). Further hydrogen bonds mediate the characteristic L-shaped molecular structure. tRNAs have two regions of fundamental functional importance: the anti-codon, which is responsible for specific mRNA codon recognition, and the 3' end, to which the tRNAs corresponding amino acid is attached (by aminoacyl-tRNA synthetases). tRNAs cope with the degeneracy of the genetic code in two manners: having more than one tRNA (with a specific anti-codon) for a particular amino acid; and 'wobble' base-pairing, i.e. permitting non-standard base-pairing at the 3rd anti-codon position.
Source: RNAcentral
UCCCCAGUAGCUCAGUUGGUAGAGCAAGCGACUGUUAAUCGCUUUGUCACAGGUUCGAGUCCUGUCUGGGGAGCCA